This 72-nucleotide transfer RNA is filed under the name Thermoleophilia bacterium. RNAcentral describes it as "tRNA-Asn". It matches the Rfam family "tRNA". From Rfam's summary of the family: Transfer RNA (tRNA) molecules are approximately 80 nucleotides in length. Their secondary structure includes four short double-helical elements and three loops (D, anti-codon, and T loops). Lineage: Bacteria; Bacillati; Actinomycetota; Thermoleophilia. The record is from RNAcentral.
UCCUCGGUAGCUCAAUGGCAGAGCAUCCGACUGUUAAUCGGAGGGUUGUAGGUUCGAGUCCUACCCGAGGAG